This 516-nucleotide ribosomal RNA is filed under the name uncultured bacterium. Its description in RNAcentral is "bacterial SSU rRNA". It matches the Rfam family "Bacterial small subunit ribosomal RNA", at positions 20 to 518 of the family's 1533-position model. The record is from RNAcentral.
UGGCUCAGGACGAACGCUGGCGGCGUGCCUAAUACAUGCAAGUCGAGCGAAUGACGAGGAGCUUGCUCCUUGAUUUAGCGGCGGACGGGUGAGUAACACGUGGGUAACCUACCCUAUAGACUGGGAUAACUUCGGGAAACCGGAGCUAAUACCGGAUAAUACUUUUGAACACAUGUUCGAAAGUUGAAAGAUGGUUUCGGCUAUCACUAUAGGAUGGACCCGCGGCGCAUUAGCUAGUUGGUGGGGGUAAUGGCUCACCAAGGCAACGAUGCGUAGCCGACCUGAGAGGGUGAUCGGCCACACUGGGACUGAGACACGGCCCAGACUCCUACGGGAGGCAGCAGUAGGGAAUCUUCCACAAUGGACGAAAGUCUGAUGGAGCAACGCCGCCGUGAGUGAAGAAGGAUUUCGGUUCGUAAAACUCUGUUGCAAGGGAAGAACAAGUAGCGUAGUAACUGGCGCUACCUUGACGGUACCUUGUUAGAAAGCCACGGCUAACUACGUGCCAGCCGCCGC